UACGUAGGGUGCGAGCGUUAAUCGGAAUUACUGGGCGUAAAGCGUGCGCAGGCGGUUAUGUAAGGCAGAUGUGAAAUCCCCGGGCUCAAUCUGGGAACUGCAUUUGUGACUGCAUAGCUAGAGUACGGUAGAGGGGGAUGGAAUUCCGCGUGUAGCAGUGAAAUGCGUAGAUAUGCGGAGGAACACCGAUGGCGAAGGCAAUCCCCUGGACCUGUACUGACGCUCAUGCACGAAAGCGUGGGGAGCAAACAGG
This 253-nucleotide ribosomal RNA is filed under the name uncultured bacterium. RNAcentral describes it as "partial 16S ribosomal RNA". It matches the Rfam family "Bacterial small subunit ribosomal RNA", at positions 524 to 776 of the family's 1533-position model. The record is from RNAcentral.